This 498-nucleotide ribosomal RNA is filed under the name uncultured bacterium. Its description in RNAcentral is "partial 16S ribosomal RNA". It matches the Rfam family "Bacterial small subunit ribosomal RNA", at positions 28 to 507 of the family's 1533-position model. The record is from RNAcentral.
GAUGAACGCUGGCGGCGUGCCUAAUACAUGCAAGUCGAGCGAACUUUUGGGAGCUUGCUCGCAAAAGUUAGCGGCGGACGGGUGAGUAACACGUGGGUAACCUGCCUGUAAGACUGGGAUAACUUCGGGAAACUGGAGCUAAUACCGGAUAACAUUGAAGACCACAUGGUCGGCAAUGAAAAGGUGGCUUUUAGCGAGCACGUACAGAGGCACCCGAGGCGCAUUGGCUAGUUGGUGAGGUAAAUGCUCACCAAGGCGAGGAUGCGUAGGCGACCUGAGAGGGUGGUCGGCCACCCUGGGACUGGGACCCGGCCCAGACGCCUUCGGGAGGCAGCAGUAGGGCAUCUUCCGCAAUGGACGAAAGUCUUACGGAGCAACGCCGCGUGAGCGAAGAAGGCCUUCGGGUCGUAAAGCUCUGUUUUUAGGGAAGAACAAGUAUCGUUCGAAUAGGGCGGUACCUUGACGGUACCUAACCAGAAAGCCACGGCUAACUACGUG